GACCGUGUAGCUCAGUUGGAAGAGCAUUGGGCUAGUAUUCCAAAGGUUGUUGGUUCGAAUCCCACCGUGGCCG
Molecule: non-coding RNA, 73 nt
Organism: Paramuricea clavata
Lineage: Eukaryota; Metazoa; Cnidaria; Anthozoa; Malacalcyonacea; Plexauridae
Source: the annotation of a GenBank genome assembly